AGUGAACGCUGGCGGUAGGCCUAACACAUGCAAGUCGAACGGCAGCACAGUAAGAGCUUGCGCUUACGGGUGGCGAGUGGCGGACGGGUGAGGAAUAUAUCGGAAUCUACUUUUUCGUGGGGGUUAACGUAGGGAAACUUACGCUAAUAUCGCAUACGAUCUACGGGUGAAAGCAGGGGAUCUUCGGACCUUGCGCGAUUGAAUGAGCCGAUGUCGGAUUAGCUAGUUGGCGGGGUAAAGGCCCACCAAGGCGACGAUCCGUAGCUGGUCGGAGAGGAUGAUCAGCGGCACUGGAACGGAGACACGGUCCAGACUCCUACGGGAGGCAGCAGUGGGGAAUAUUGGACAAUGGGCGCAAGCAUGAUCCAGCCAUACCGCGUGGGUGAAGAAGGCCUUCGGGUUGUAAAGCCCUUUUGUUGGGAAAGAAAAGCAGCAGGUUAAUACCCCGCUGUUCUGACGGUACCGAAAGAAUAAGCACCGGCUAACUACGUG
This 492-nucleotide ribosomal RNA is filed under the name uncultured bacterium. Its description in RNAcentral is "partial 16S ribosomal RNA". It matches the Rfam family "Bacterial small subunit ribosomal RNA", at positions 29 to 507 of the family's 1533-position model. The record is from RNAcentral.